This 506-nucleotide ribosomal RNA is filed under the name uncultured bacterium. RNAcentral's name for it is "partial 16S ribosomal RNA". It matches the Rfam family "Bacterial small subunit ribosomal RNA", at positions 30 to 523 of the family's 1533-position model. The record is from RNAcentral.
AUUGAACGCUGGCGGUAUGCUUAACACAUGCAAGUCGAACGGCAGCACGGUCUAGCUUGCUAGAUGGGUGGCGAGUGGCGAACGGGUGAGUAACGCGUAGGAACAUACCUUAAAGAGGGGGAUAACUUGGGGAAACUCAAGCUAAUACCGCAUAAUGUCUGAGGACAAAAGCUGGGGACCUUCGGGCCUGGCGCUUUGAGAUUAGCCUGCGUACGAUUAGCUAGUUGGUGGGGUAAGGGCCUACCAAGGCGACGAUCGUUAGCUGGGCUGAGAGGAUGACCAGCCACACUGGAACUGAGACACGGUCCAGACUCCUACGGGAGGCAGCAGUGGGGAAUAUUGGACAAUGGGGGCAACCCUGAUCCAGCAAUACCGCGUGUGUGAAGAAGGCCUGAGGGUUGUAAAGCACUUUCAGUGGGGAGGAGGUUAAUUAGGUUAAGAGCUAGAUUAAUGGACGUUACCCACAGAAGAAGCACCGGCUAACUCCGUGCCAGCAGCCGCGGUAA